ACACUCCUGCGGGAGGCAGCAGUGGGGAAUAUUGGACAAUGGGCGCAAGCCUGAUCCAGCCAUGCCGCGUGAGUGAUGAAGGCCCUAGGGUUGUAAAGCUCUUUCACCGGUGAAGAUAAUGACGGUAACCGGAGAAGAAGCCCCGGCUAACUUCGUGCCAGCAGCCGCGGUAAUACGAAGGGGGCUAGCGUUGUUCGGAUUUACUGGGCGUAAAGCGCACGUAGGCGGACUAUUAAGUCAGGGGUGAAAUCCCGGGGCUCAACCCCGGAACUGCCUUUGAUACUGGUAGUCUUGAGUUCGGGAGAGGUGAGUGGAAUUCGGAGUGUAGAGGUGAAAUUCGUAGAUAUUCGGAGGAACACCAGUGGCGAAGGCGGCUCACUGGCUCGAUACUGACGCUGAGGUGCGAAAGCGUGGGGAGCAAACAGGAUUAGAAACCCCGGUAGUCCC
RNAcentral lists this ribosomal RNA (447 nucleotides) under uncultured organism. RNAcentral's name for it is "partial 16S ribosomal RNA". It matches the Rfam family "Bacterial small subunit ribosomal RNA", at positions 333 to 797 of the family's 1533-position model. The record is from RNAcentral.